Molecule: ribosomal RNA, 254 nt
Filed under: uncultured bacterium
Lineage: Bacteria
Description: partial 16S ribosomal RNA
Rfam family: Bacterial small subunit ribosomal RNA
Source: RNAcentral
UACGGAGGGGGCUAGCGUUGUUCGGAAUUACUGGGCGUAAAGCGCACGUAGGCGGCGCGACAAGUCAGAGGUGAAAGGCCUGGGCUCAACCUGGGAACUGCCUUUGAUACUGGCGUGCUUGAGUCCGGAAGAGGGUGGCGGAAUUCCCAGUGUAGAGGUGAAAUUCGUAGAUAUUGGGAAGAACACCGGUGGCGAAGGCGGUCACCCUGGUCCGGUACUGACGCUGAGGUGCGAAAGCGUGGGGAGCAAACAGG